RNAcentral lists this ribosomal RNA (816 nucleotides) under uncultured SAR156 cluster gamma proteobacterium. RNAcentral's name for it is "SSU rRNA". It matches the Rfam family "Bacterial small subunit ribosomal RNA", at positions 61 to 858 of the family's 1533-position model. Lineage: Bacteria; Pseudomonadati; Pseudomonadota; Gammaproteobacteria. The record is from RNAcentral.
GUCGAGCGGUAACAGACAUAAAGAUUCAGCUUGCUGANUCCGGUGCUGACGAGCGGCGAACGGGUGAGUAACGCGUAGGAAUCUACCCAGUAGCGGGGGAUAGCCCGAGGAAACUCGGAUUAAUACCGCAUACGCCCUGAGGGGGAAAGGGGGCAGUUUACUGCUCUCACUAUUGGAUGAGCCUGCGUAAGAUUAGCUUGUUGGUGGGGUAAUGGCCUACCAAGGCAACGAUCUUUAGCUGGUCUGAGAGGACGAUCAGCCACAUUGGGACUGAGACACGGCCCAGACAUCUACGGAUGGCAGCAGUUAAGAAUAUUGGACAAUGGGGGCAACCCUGAUCCAGGUAUACCGCGUGUGUGAAGAAGGCCCUAGGGUUGUAAAGCACUUUAAUCAGAGAAGAAGCAUUUUAAGUUAAUACCUUAAUAUGUUGACGUUACCUGAAGAAUAAGGACCGGCUAACUCCGUGCCAGCAGCCGCGGUAAUACGGAGGGUCCAAGCGUUAAUCGGAAUUACUGGGCGUAAAGCGCGCGUAGGCGGUUUAGUAAGUUGUAUGUGAAAGCCCUGGGCUCAACCUAGGAACUGCAUUCAAAACUACUAAGCUAGAGUACGAGAGAGGAGAGUAGAAUUUCUGGUGUAGCGGUGAAAUGCGUAGAUAUCAGAAGGAAUACCAAUGGCGAAGGCAGCUCUCUGGCUCGUCACUGACGCUGAGGUGCGAAAGCGUGGGUAGCAAACAGGAUUAGAUACCCUGGUAGUCCACGCCGUNNCGAUGAGAACUAGCCGUUGGGCAGAUUUAACUGUUCAGUGNACAGCUAACGC